ACGAAGGGUGCAAGCGUUACUCGGAAUUACUGGGCGUAAAGCGUGCGUAGGUGGUGGUUUAAGUCAGAUGUGAAAGCCCUGGGCUCAACCUGGGAACUGCAUUUGAUACUGGAUCACUAGAGUGCGGUAGAGGAUAGUGGAAUUCCCGGUGUAGCAGUGAAAUGCGUAGAGAUCGGGAGGAACACCAGUCGCGAAGGCGACUAUCUGGACCAGCACUGACACUGAGGCACGAAAGCGUGGGGAGCAAACAG
RNAcentral lists this ribosomal RNA (251 nucleotides) under uncultured prokaryote. Its description in RNAcentral is "partial 16S rRNA". It matches the Rfam family "Bacterial small subunit ribosomal RNA", at positions 525 to 775 of the family's 1533-position model. The record is from RNAcentral.